This 718-nucleotide ribosomal RNA is filed under the name soil bacterium Dicl-S1P-M1LLLSSL-3. Its description in RNAcentral is "bacterial SSU rRNA". It matches the Rfam family "Bacterial small subunit ribosomal RNA", at positions 91 to 801 of the family's 1533-position model. The record is from RNAcentral.
GCGAGUGGCGAACGGGUGAGUAAUACAUCGGAACGUGUCCUGUAGUGGGGGAUAGCCCGGCGAAAGCCGGAUUAAUACCGCAUACGCUCUGCGGAGGAAAGCGGGGGAUCCUUCGGGACCUCGCGCUACAGGGGCGGCCGAUGGCAGAUUAGCUAGUUGGUGGGGUAAAGGCCUACCAAGGCGACGAUCUGUAGCUGGUCUGAGAGGACGACCAGCCACACUGGGACUGAGACACGGCCCAGACUCCUACGGGAGGCAGCAGUGGGGAAUUUUGGACAAUGGGCGCAAGCCUGAUCCAGCAAUGCCGCGUGUGUGAAGAAGGCCUUCGGGUUGUAAAGCACUUUUGUCCGGAAAGAAAACCUCGUGGUUAAUACCCGUGGGGGAUGACGGUACCGGAAGAAUAAGCACCGGCUAACUACGUGCCAGCAGCCGCGGUAAUACGUAGGGUGCAAGCGUUAAUCGGAAUUACUGGGCGUAAAGCGUGCGCAGGCGGUUCGCUAAGACAGAUGUGAAAUCCCCGGGCUUAACCUGGGAACUGCAUUUGUGACUGGCGGGCUAGAGUAUGGCAGAGGGGGUGUAGAAUUCCACGUGUAGCAGUGAAAUGCGUAGAGAUGUGGAGGAAUACCGAUGGCGAAGGCAGCCCCCUGGGCCAAUACUGACGCUCAUGCACGAAAGCGUGGGGAGCAAACAGGAUUAGAUACCCCUGGUAGUCCACGCC